RNAcentral lists this ribosomal RNA (253 nucleotides) under uncultured bacterium. RNAcentral's name for it is "partial 16S ribosomal RNA". It matches the Rfam family "Bacterial small subunit ribosomal RNA", at positions 524 to 776 of the family's 1533-position model. The record is from RNAcentral.
UACGUAGGUGGCAAGCGUUGUCCGGAAUUACUGGGCGUAAAGGGCGCGUAGGUGGUGACAUUAGAGUGAUGUGAAAGCCCUGGGCUUAACCUGGGAAGUGCAUCGCUAACUGUGUGACUAGAGUUUGGGAGAGGGUGAUGGAAUUUCCGGUGUAGCGGUGAAAUGCGUAGAGAUCGGAAGGAACGUCGAUGGCGAAGGCAGUCACCUGGCCUAAAACUGACACUGAGGCGCGAAAGCGUGGGGAGCAAACAGG